UCCGGUUUGACACCGGCAGUCCCACUAGAGUCCUCGGCAUGACCCGUUAGCAACUAGUGGCAAGGGUUUCGCUCGUUAAGGGACUUAACCCGACACUUCACAGCACGAGCUGACGACAGCCAUGCAGCACCUGUGCACGUUCCACCCAGAGGGUGUGGCUCCCCUUUCAGGGAGUUAAUCCGUGCAUGUCAAGCCCAGGAUAAGGUUCUUCGCGUUGCUUCGAAUUAAGCCACAUGCUCCACCGCUUGUGUGAGCCCCCGUCAAUUCCUUUGAGUUUUAGUCUUGCGACCGUACUCCCCAGGCGGGGUACUUAGCGCGUUAGCUCCGGCUCGGCAGGGGUCAAUACCCACCUAACCUAGUACCCAUCGUUUACAGCGUGGACUAC
RNAcentral lists this unclassified non-coding RNA (385 nucleotides) under uncultured Phycisphaeraceae bacterium. RNAcentral describes it as "contains 16S-23S intergenic spacer region". The record is from RNAcentral. Lineage: Bacteria; Pseudomonadati; Planctomycetota; Phycisphaerae; Phycisphaerales; Phycisphaeraceae.